UUAAGCGACUAAGCGUACACGGUGGAUGCCCUGGCAGUCAGAGGCGAUGAAGGACGUGCUAAUCUGCGAAAAGCGUCGGUAAGGUGAUAUGAACCGUUAUAGCCGGCGAUGUCCGAAUGGGGAAACCCAGUGUGAUUCGUCACACUAUCGUUAACUGAAUACAUAGGUUAACGAGGCGAACCGGGGGAACUGAAACAUCUAAGUACCCCGAGGAAAAGAAAUCAACCGAGAUUCCCCCAGUAGCGGCGAGCGAACGGGGAGCAGCCCAGAGUCUGAAUCAGCUUGUGUGUUAGUGGAACGGUCUGGAAAGUCCGACGGUACAGGGUGAUAGUCCCGUACACCAAAAUGCACAGGUUGUGAACUCGAAGAGUAGGGCGGGACACGUGGUAUCCUGUCUGAAUAUGGGGGGACCAUCCUCCAAGGCUAAAUACUCCUGACUGACCGAUAGUGAACCAGUACCGUGAGGGAAAGGCGAAAAGAACCCCGGCGAGGGGAGUGAAAAAGAACCUGAAACCGUGUACGUACAAGCAGUGGGAGCACCUUCGGGUGUGACUGCGUACCUUUUGUAUAAUGGGUCAGCGACUUAUAUUCUGUAGCAAGGUUAACCGUAUAGGGGAGCCGCAGGGAAACCGAGUCUUAACUGGGCGUUAAGUUGCAGGGUAUAGACCCGAAACCCGGUGAUCUAGCCAUGGGCAGGUUGAAGGUUGGGUAACACUAACUGGAGGACCGAACCGACUAAUGUUGAAAAAUUAGCGGAUGACUUGUGGCUGGGGGUGAAAGGCCAAUCAAACCGGGAGAUAGCUGGUUCUCCCCGAAAGCUAUUUAGGUAGCGCCUCGUGAAUUCAUCUUCGGGGGUAGAGCACUGUUUCGGCUAGGGGGUCAUCCCGACUUACCAACCCGAUGCAAACUACGAAUACCGAAGAAUGUUAUCACGGGAGACACACGGCGGGUGCUAACGUCCGUCGUGAAGAGGGAAACAACCCAGACCGCCAGCUAAGGUCCCAAAGUCAUGGUUAAGUGGGAAACGAUGUGGGAAGGCACAGACAGCCAGGAUGUUGGCUUAGAAGCAGCCAUCAUUUAAAGAAAGCGUAAUAGCUCACUGGUCGAGUCGGCCUGCGCGGAAGAUGUAACGGGGCUAAACCAUGCACCGAAGCUGCGGCAGCGACACUAUGUGUUGUUGGGUAGGGGAGCGUUCUGUAAGCCUGCGAAGGUGACCUGUGAGGGUUGCUGGAGGUAUCAGAAGUGCGAAUGCUGACAUAAGUAACGAUAAAGCGGGUGAAAAGCCCGCUCGCCGGAAGACCAAGGGUUCCUGUCCAACGUUAAUCGGGGCAGGGUGAGUCGACCCCUAAGGCGAGGCCGAAAGGCGUAGUCGAUGGGAAACAGGUUAAUAUUCCUGUACUUGGUGUUACUGCGAAGGGGGGACGGAGAAGGCUAUGUUAGCCGGGCGACGGUUGUCCCGGUUUAAGCAUGUAGGCUGGUUGUCCAGGCAAAUCCGGAUAAUCAAGGCUGAGGUGUGAUGACGAGGCACUACGGUGCUGAAGUAACAAAUGCCCUGCUUCCAGGAAAAGCCUCUAAGCAUCAGGUAACAUCAAAUCGUACCCCAAACCGACACAGGUGGUCAGGUAGAGAAUACCAAGGCGCUUGAGAGAACUCGGGUGAAGGAACUAGGCAAAAUGGUGCCGUAACUUCGGGAGAAGGCACGCUGGUGUGUAGGUGAAGUCCCUGCGGAUGGAGCUGAGACCAGUCGAAGAUACCAGCUGGCUGCAACUGUUUAUUAAAAACACAGCACUGUGCAAACACGAAAGUGGACGUAUACGGUGUGACGCCUGCCCGGUGCCGGAAGGUUAAUUGAUGGGGUUAUCCGUAAGGAGAAGCUCUUGAUCGAAGCCCCGGUAAACGGCGGCCGUAACUAUAACGGUCCUAAGGUAGCGAAAUUCCUUGUCGGGUAAGUUCCGACCUGCACGAAUGGCGUAAUGAUGGCCAGGCUGUCUCCACCCGAGACUCAGUGAAAUUGAACUCGCUGUGAAGAUGCAGUGUACCCGCGGCAAGACGGAAAGACCCCGUGAACCUUUACUAUAGCUUGACACUGAACAUUGAGCCUUGAUGUGUAGGAUAGGUGGGAGGCUUUGAAGCGUGGACGCCAGUCUGCGUGGAGCCAACCUUGAAAUACCACCCUUUAAUGUUUGAUGUUCUAACGUUGGCCCCUGACCGGGGUUGCGGACAGUGUCUGGUGGGUAGUUUGACUGGGGCGGUCUCCUCCCAAAGCGUAACGGAGGAGCACGAAGGUUAGCUAAUCCUGGUCGGACAUCAGGAGGUUAGUGCAAUGGCAUAAGCUAGCUUGACUGCGAGCGUGACGGCGCGAGCAGGUGCGAAAGCAGGUCAUAGUGAUCCGGUGGUUCUGAAUGGAAGGGCCAUCGCUCAACGGAUAAAAGGUACUCCGGGGAUAACAGGCUGAUACCGCCCAAGAGUUCAUAUCGACGGCGGUGUUUGGCACCUCGAUGUCGGCUCAUCACAUCCUGGGGCUGAAGUAGGUCCCAAGGGUAUGGCUGUUCGCCAUUUAAAGUGGUACGCGAGCUGGGUUUAGAACGUCGUGAGACAGUUCGGUCCCUAUCUGCCGUGGGCGCUGGAGAAUUGAGGGGGGCUGCUCCUAGUACGAGAGGACCGGAGUGGACGCAUCACUGGUGUUCGGGUUGUCAUGCCAAUGGCACUGCCCGGUAGCUAAAUGCGGAAGAGAUAAGUGCUGAAAGCAUCUAAGCACGAAACUUGCCCCGAGAUGAGUUCUCCCUGAGACUUUAAGUCUCCUGAAGGAACGUUGAAGACGACGACGUUGAUAGGCCGGGUGUGUAAGCGCAGCGAUGCGUUGAGCUAACCGGUACUAAUGAACCGUGAGGCUUAACCUU
This 2900-nucleotide ribosomal RNA is filed under the name Klebsiella pneumoniae. RNAcentral's name for it is "23S ribosomal RNA". It matches the Rfam family "Bacterial large subunit ribosomal RNA". The record is from RNAcentral. Lineage: Bacteria; Pseudomonadati; Pseudomonadota; Gammaproteobacteria; Enterobacterales; Enterobacteriaceae. RNAcentral also lists the same sequence under 1 other name.